GUCUACGCGUGACGUCACCGACGGGCGCGGACGAGAAGAGGCCCUGGGGUGGCACGUGUGUCUGGCGGCGCGGCGGGCGGGUACAUGGCGGGCUCUGUGGGACUGGCGUUGUGCGGGCAGACGCUGGUGGUGCGGGGCGGCAGCCGAUUCCUGGCCACCUCCACUGCAAGCAGUGAUGAUGACAGCCUCUUCAUCUAUGACUGCAGUGCUGCAGAAAAGAAGGCACAAGAAAAUAAAGGGGAGGAUGCGCCCUUGGUCCAGGGGAGCAGUGUGAUUCUGGCGUCCACCUUCUCCAAGUCUGGCAGCUAUUUUGCUUUAACUGAUGACAGUAAGCGUCUGAUUCUUUUCCGUACAAAACCAUGGCAGUGUCUGAGUGUCAGGACGGUGGCAAGGAGGUGUACGGCCCUGACCUUCACGGCCUCCGAGGAGAAGGUCUUGGUGGCCGACAAGUCUGGAGACGUGUACUCCUUUUCCGUGCUGGAGCCUCACGGAUGUGGCCAGCUAGAGCUGGGGCACCUGUCCAUGCUGUUAGAUGUGGCUGUGAGUCCUGAUGACCGCUUCAUCCUCACCGCCGACCGGGAUGAGAAGAUCCGAGUCAGCUGGGCCGCCGCACCCCACAGCAUCGAGUCCUUCUGCUUGGGACACACAGAGUUUGUGAGUCGCAUCUCCGUGGUGCCCACUCAGCCCAGGCUGCUGCUGUCCUCCUCUGGGGACGGCACCCUGAGGCUCUGGGAGUACAGGAGCGGCCGCCAGCUGCACUGCUGUCGCCUGGCCAGUCUGCAGGAGCCGGCGGACCCCCAGGCCCCCCAGAGGCUGGCCGCGUCCAGGAUUGCGUUCUGGUGCCAGGAGAACUGCGUGGCGCUCCUGUGUGACGGCGCUCCUGCGGUCUACAUCUUCCGGCUGGACGCCGGCAGACAGCAGCUGGAGUAUAGGCAGCAGCUGGCAUUCCAGCACCAAGUGUGGGAUGUGGCUUUCGAGGAGACCCAGGGACUGUGGGUGCUUCAGGACUGCCGGGAGGCCCCGCUGGUGCUCUGCAGACCUGUGGGCGGCCAGUGGCAGUCUGUUCUUGAGAGCGCCGUGUUAAAGAAAGUCUCCGGUGUUCUUCAUGGGAACUGGGCCAUGAUGGAAGGCUCUGCCGGCGUGGACGCCAGCUUCAGCAGUCUCUACAAGGCCACCUUCGACAACAUGACCUCCUACCUGAGAAAGAAGGAGGAGAGGCUGCAGCAGCAGCUGGAGAAGAAACGGCACCGGAGUCCCCCGCCUGGGCCCAACGGGCAGGCCAAGAAGAUGAGGCCAGGGGAGACGGCCUGGAGCUGCUGAGCCUCUCACCUCGAGUCACAAAAAGCAUUUUCGCUUGUUCCCCUGCAUCCUGGUGUCUCCCUUCAAGAAGAAAAAGGUGACAUCAGUUGCGAUCAGCUCAGAGGAUGGGACGGUCCCCUGGGCUCCAGAAAGAACGUGCUGUGUCACCAGGCAGAGGCGCUUGCUCCGUGCCUGUGCCCCGUUUCUGGUUGAGGGGAAGCCAGACCCAUGGAGGGGAAGCUCUUGAGGCGCUUUGUUUUCAGGUCGGAGGCAGCGUGCACGCCUGUGGUGGCGGCAGCUGUGCGUGGUUCUGCCGUUCUACCGCCGUUCAUAUCUGGCGCAUCUUCCUCUAGGAACGUCUGCGGGCUGGUGUUUCUGGCACAGUGGACAUUUUCACGCCAUCUCAGCGUCCAGGUGAUGUGCUGCCCCACAGUAGCUGCUCGCCAUGCAGGCUGUUGAAACAGCACGAACGUUCAGCCCGCCCCAGCCCCAGCCAGACCCCCUGUGCUCAGGAGCUGCCUCUGGAGAGUAGCGCUCUCGUGGGAAGUGCAGAAAUGCGUUUUGGAGUUGCAGGGAGCUCUGUCAGGCAGCGCUGGCACAGGUGUUUCAGAUGCCCAGGGUUCUCCCAGCCCUCACAGCGGUCAGCCCUGCUUCACUGGUUUUCCAUGUGAUGUGGCUCAGACGUCAGCAAAGACGCUCGGGUUGGCUUCGGACAUUACGAACAAAGGAAGCUGUGGGAGGCCGUCAAAGUCUGAGAUGUCGCAGGUGACACGGGAGGGGGCGGGCGGGGGAUUCGGCUGCAGACACCCCGUCCAGGAUGCCAGCAGCAGGCAUUCCUCCUUCCUGCUUCACUACCCGAAAGGUCAGAGCUGAAAUCACAAGGGUCUGCAUUGCCUUUUGCUGGGAGGGCCAGGGGCCGCACUCCCAAGACAGCACGUAGCAGCUCCCGAUUGUCAGUGACUCUGAUGAGGGAGAUUUGUUGGAUUUCUCAGAUCCAGUCUGACACGUGCGGCGUUCCUCGAAUUGCUAAUCAACAGGCUUGGGGAGGAAAAAUGGCAUCUUCCUGUGCCCCCGGAGCAGCACAGGUGGUGACAGCGUCUCAGAACGGUGCUAGGCUGUGCAGGCCGGCCCUCCCUUUGCCAACUUUCUGUUCUUCUUGGCGAGAUGCUUGCUGUGUGCUGGGAACUCACCAUGGAAAGCCCCGGGCAUUGCUGCUGCUGUCUCUUGACGCCAUCCAGCUGUAAACAUCUUACCCUUCGUGCUGACUUCAUGCUGACUGUCGGGCAGACAGUGCACUUGGAAACAUGCCGUCCUCGGUGGAGAUGGUGCUGCCCACCCCAGGGGGGCGUCUUGUUCAGUGGAUUGUGCUUGUCGGGGGGUGGGCCCCUCUGUCUGCACACUCACUCCCUAUGCUGGGCCUGUCCCCAGGCCUGGGUGCUGCGUUCCCCACACCUGCCUCUGCUGUGGGACCCAGAGCUCUCAGGGCCAUGGGCACAUCUGUCUUGCGCUGAGCCUCCACUGCCACAUGCAGCCUGUGAAUCAGUCCACAUGUGUGGCCGCCUCCCAGUACGGGCAGGCUCUGGGUGUGCUGGCUGACCAGGGUGGACACGGCCUCCAACUGUAGGGAUUUGGGGGCGACUGCAACAGGAUGGGGGUUGGUGGGCUUUCUAGGGGGCCCCAUGCAUGGAGACCAGGCUGGCUGCUGCGAACCAGGACUCACCGUAGACGCCUCCCCUAACGGACCUCAGUCAUUUGUUGAUUUAACUGUUCCAGGACGCAGUAUGGUUAGAACCAGAGGCAGUGUGCUGGAGUGACAGUGUGUACGUGUCCACGUGUCUGUGCGUGUGGCUGCAUGUUUGUUCAUGAUAGUAAAAUUCAAGGAAGCGUCGUAUGGAGUUUGAUGAGGGAGCAGAAUUUGGUGAGGUGGGCAUUCCAAGUAAUGUAGCGGGUGAAGGUGCUGUUCAAAGAGCCUUGUUACGGAUGAGGACAGCAGGUAAUAGUCCCUUCAGAGGCUGGCAUGGAGGUGGAGGGCGUCAGAUCUGAUGCCUACGUUUUGCUUCAGUUUUUGCCAAUGCUGCCAUAUCUACUAGCUUUAGGAUUCAAAUGAAAAAAGCAGAAGCCAAAAGGGGUAUAGAAAUCAAGAUCCCUAUCUGCAUUGAGCUGUAUUCAAGAUGAGAUGGAUUUCCUUUUUUGGA
RNA transcript from Saimiri boliviensis boliviensis (Bolivian squirrel monkey), 3494 nucleotides. It is a transcript of the gene named WDR4 tRNA N7-guanosine methyltransferase non-catalytic subunit, with no coding region annotated. The record is from RefSeq and is a predicted model, not a curated record. Lineage: Eukaryota; Metazoa; Chordata; Mammalia; Primates; Cebidae.